Molecule: ribosomal RNA, 354 nt
Filed under: uncultured Methanosaeta sp.
Lineage: Archaea; Methanobacteriati; Methanobacteriota; Methanomicrobia; Methanotrichales; Methanotrichaceae
Description: bacterial SSU rRNA
Rfam family: Archaeal small subunit ribosomal RNA
Source: RNAcentral
CCUAUGGGGGGCAGCAGGCGCGAAAACUUUACAAUGCUGGCAACAGCGAUAAGGGAACCUCGAGUGCCAGGUUACAAAUCUGGCUGUCGAGAUGCCUAAAAAGCAUUUCAUAGCAAGGGCCGGGCAAGACCGGUGCCAGCCGCCGCGGUAACACCGGCGGCUCGAGUGGUAACCGUUAUUAUUGGGUCUAAAGGGUCUGUAGAGGCCGGGAGAGGUCUCUGGUACUUCAGGGGUAGGGGUGAAAUCUUGUAAUCCUUGAAGGACCACCAGUGGCGAAGGCGUCUCACCAGAACGGACCUGACGGCAAGGGACGAAAGCUAGGGGCACGAACCGGAUUAGAUACCCCGGUAGUCC